This 253-nucleotide ribosomal RNA is filed under the name uncultured bacterium. RNAcentral describes it as "partial 16S ribosomal RNA". It matches the Rfam family "Bacterial small subunit ribosomal RNA", at positions 524 to 776 of the family's 1533-position model. The record is from RNAcentral.
UACGUAGGGGGCAAGCGUUGUCCGGAUUUACUGGGCGUAAAGCGCGCGUAGGCGGAACGAUCAGUCCGGUCUGAAAGCCCCCGGCUCAACCGGGGAGGGUGGCUGGAAACUGUCGUUCUUGAGGGCGAGAGAGGUGGAUGGAAUUCCUAGUGUAGAGGUGAAAUUCGUAGAUAUUAGGAAGAACACCGGUGGCGAAGGCGGUCCACUGGCUCGGUACUGACGCUGAGGUGCGAAAGCGUGGGGAGCAAACAGG